This 368-nucleotide ribosomal RNA is filed under the name Saccharomyces cerevisiae (brewer's yeast). RNAcentral's name for it is "eukaryotic LSU rRNA". It matches the Rfam family "Eukaryotic large subunit ribosomal RNA", at positions 1 to 364 of the family's 3401-position model. The record is from RNAcentral. Lineage: Eukaryota; Fungi; Ascomycota; Saccharomycetes; Saccharomycetales; Saccharomycetaceae.
NUUGACCUCAAAUCAGGUAGGAGUACCCGCUGAACUUAAGCAUAUCAAUAAGCGGAGGAAAAGAAACCAACCGGGAUUGCCUUAGUAACGGCGAGUGAAGCGGCAAAAGCUCAAAUUUGAAAUCUGGUACCUUCGGUGCCCGAGUUGUAAUUUGGAGAGGGCAACUUUGGGGCCGUUCCUUGUCUAUGUUCCUUGGAACAGGACGUCAUAGAGGGUGAGAAUCCCGUGUGGCGAGGAGUGCGGUUCUUUGUAAAGUGCCUUCGAAGAGUCGAGUUGUUUGGGAAUGCAGCUCUAAGUGGGUGGUAAAUUCCAUCUAAAGCUAAAUAUUGGCGAGAGACCGAUAGCGAACAAGUACAGUGAUGGAAAGA